This 371-nucleotide ribosomal RNA is filed under the name uncultured organism. RNAcentral describes it as "bacterial SSU rRNA". It matches the Rfam family "Bacterial small subunit ribosomal RNA", at positions 526 to 896 of the family's 1533-position model. The record is from RNAcentral.
CGUAGGGUGCGAGCGUUAAUCGGAAUUACUGGGCGUAAAGCGUGCGCAGGCGGUUUUGUAAGACAGGCGUGAAAUCCCCGGGCUCAACCUGGGAACUGCGCUUGUGACUGCAAGGCUAGAGUACGGCAGAGGGGGUGGAAUUCCACGUGUAGCAGUGAAAUGCGUAGAGAUGUGGAGGAACACCAAUGGCGAAGGCAGCCCCCUGGGUCGAUACUGACGCUCAUGCACGAAAGCGUGGGUAGCAAACAGGAUUAGAUACCCUGGUAGUCCACGCCCUAAACGAUGUCAACUAGGUGUUGGGUGGGUAAAACCAUUUAGUACCGGAGCUAACGCGUGAAGUUGAACGCCUGGGGAGUACGGCCGCAAGGUUA